GGGGAAUCUUGCGCAAUGGGCGAAAGCCUGACGCAGCAAUGCCGCGUGAGGGAAGAAGGUCUUAGGAUUGUAAACCUCUUUCAGCAGGGACGAAAACAGACGGUACCUGCAGAAGAAGCCCCGGCUAACUACGUGCCAGCAGCCGCGGUAAUACGUAGGGGGCGAGCGUUGUCCGGAAUCAUUGGGCGUAAAGAGCGUGUAGGUGGACUGGAAGGUCUGGUGUGAAAGCCCGGGGCUCAACCCCGGAGGGUCACUGGAAACCAACAGUCUUGAGUCCGGAAGAGGAGAGUGGAAUUCCUAGUGUAGCGGUGGAAUGCGCAGAUAUUAGGAGGAACACCAAUGGCGAAGGCAGCUCUCUGGUACGUGACUGACACUGAGACGCGAAAGCGUGGGGAGCGAAC
RNAcentral lists this ribosomal RNA (401 nucleotides) under uncultured bacterium. Its description in RNAcentral is "bacterial SSU rRNA". It matches the Rfam family "Bacterial small subunit ribosomal RNA", at positions 356 to 773 of the family's 1533-position model. The record is from RNAcentral.